CCUUUGCCGACCGCGUUAGGGAUAGAGGCGACAUCCUUUUUCUGUCAUUUCGAGCGCAGUCGAGAAACAGAAAAAGAUACAGCCGAUAGCCCGACCCCCG
This 100-nucleotide small RNA is filed under the name Flagellimonas taeanensis. RNAcentral describes it as "Allomuricauda taeanensis Flavo-1 RNA". It matches the Rfam family "Flavo-1 RNA". The record is from RNAcentral. Lineage: Bacteria; Pseudomonadati; Bacteroidota; Flavobacteriia; Flavobacteriales; Flavobacteriaceae.